ACGUAGGGUGCGAGCGUUGUCCGGAAUUACUGGGCGUAAAGGGCUCGUAGGUGGUUUGUCGCGUCGUCUGUGAAAUUCCGGGGCUUAACUCCGGGCGUGCAGGCGAUACGGGCAUAACUUGAGUACUGUAGGGGUAACUGGAAUUCCUGGUGUAGCGGUGAAAUGCGCAGAUAUCAGGAGGAACACCGAUGGCGAAGGCAGGUUACUGGGCAGUUACUGACGCUGAGGAGCGAAAGCAUGGGUAGCGAACAGG
Molecule: ribosomal RNA, 253 nt
Filed under: uncultured bacterium
Lineage: Bacteria
Description: partial 16S ribosomal RNA
Rfam family: Bacterial small subunit ribosomal RNA
Source: RNAcentral